AAUUCAAAUGCUUUUUACAAUGAAAAGAAAGAGAGUUUCAUCUCAUUUCUCUACCAGGGUAGAUGUCUUGAACUUUUCAGAA
This is a long non-coding RNA of Myotis brandtii (Brandt's bat), 82 nucleotides long. RefSeq lists it as uncharacterized. The record is from RefSeq and is a predicted model, not a curated record. The transcript has 3 exons. NCBI's taxonomy places the organism in Eukaryota, Metazoa, Chordata, Mammalia, Chiroptera, Vespertilionidae.